UAUAGAAACAUACAUGCAUGCCAGUUUUGAAUUAUUACUUUUGACUAGGCUAACUUCUUCACUUGAGUAACCGGAAUCUGCUUUACCUGUUUGUCUUCUUUGUGAUUAUCUCAUUGUAAAAGCCAUCUGGGUCUAAUCAGAAAUUGGCAGGGAAUUCCAACACAAUUUUGUAAUUAUUCAAACAGGUUACAAUAUUUCCUCUCCCUCUCGAGAUUCAACUGUUAAAAGUGGAGAGCCUAUGAAAGCUGAAGGGGAGAUCAAGGUUGGGAUUUUGGAUAAAUUAGUUGUUGAUAAGGAAAAGAAAAAAGGUAAAAGAAGCCGCCAUGACCUCUAAGAUCACCGACUACUUCACCAUUAGACACUGUUGAUCAGAAGCUCAUCAGUGAACUAAACUAUCGGAGCUUGCGGUGUUAAAGAGGGCUAGGAUGGAGAGCGUAUGAAGGCAUUGGAGAAGAUGAAUAAUUCCAAACCAGCAUCUUCAAUUGCGAAUCUGGUGGCUUUGAUCAUUUCCGUCAUCUUUUGCUUCUUCAUGCUUUGGCAAGGUAUAACAACUGAUAACCCAUAAGUUAUGUUAACAUGCAUUAUGUUCUAUGCACAAUUAGAUUCUUGUUCACUAGCACUGGUUGUGCAUAACAGUAAAUCAUCUUUGUUGCUCCUACUACAUCCAUUUUGAGAUAGAAAUUUCGUACUUAAUCACCAUUACAAUAUGACCAUUACAAUAUGACAUGUGUUCACUACAGUUAUACUUGCAUUCACUUUGCAACCAAUAUCUUGUUAGUUAUUUUUAAAAUGGUCUUUGACUAAUUCCUUCAAUGUUCUACUGGUCUACUGCAUCUCUGCUAACCAAUACCAUUAGUCUUUAUUAAUUUGACUUUGCCUAGAAACAACAGAUGUGUA
This is a long non-coding RNA of Zea mays, 897 nucleotides long. RefSeq lists it as uncharacterized. NCBI's taxonomy places the organism in Eukaryota, Viridiplantae, Streptophyta, Magnoliopsida, Poales, Poaceae. The record is from RefSeq and is a predicted model, not a curated record. The transcript is spliced from 2 exons.